UGGGGAAUUUUGGACAAUGGGGGCAACCCUGAUCCAGCCAUUCCGCGUGAGUGAAGAAGGCCCUCGGGUUGUAAAGCUCUUUCAGCAGGAACGAAACGGUCGGCUUUAAUAAAGUCGGCUAAUGACGGUACCUGCAGAAGAAGCACCGGCUAACUACGUGCCAGCAGCCGCGGUAAUACGUAGGGUGCGAGCGUUAAUCGGAAUUACUGGGCGUAAAGCGUGCGCAGGCGGCGACAUAAGACAGAUGUGAAAUCCCCGGGCUCAACCUGGGAACUGCGUUUGUGACUGUGUUGCUAGAGUGUAGCAGAGGGGGGUGAAUUCCACGUGUAGCAGUGAAAUGCGUAGAGAUGUGGAGGAACACCGAUGGCGAAGGCAGCCUCCUGGGUUAACACUGACGCUCAUGCACGAAAGCGUGGGGAGCAAACAGGAUUAGAUACCCAAGUAGUCCCUGAGCGGGCUGGCAAGGCGCAU
RNAcentral lists this ribosomal RNA (471 nucleotides) under uncultured bacterium. Its description in RNAcentral is "bacterial SSU rRNA". It matches the Rfam family "Bacterial small subunit ribosomal RNA", at positions 355 to 825 of the family's 1533-position model. The record is from RNAcentral.